Non-coding RNA from Agelaius phoeniceus (red-winged blackbird), 514 nucleotides. NCBI's taxonomy places the organism in Eukaryota, Metazoa, Chordata, Aves, Passeriformes, Icteridae. The record is from RefSeq and is a predicted model, not a curated record.
UUUUGGUUUUUCUCCCCAGAAUUCUGCUCUUUAGGAGGCCUGGAGGUGGCCCUGUCCCUGCUGGGUCACCGCUGGCCCCCUCUCCGUGCCGGGGCCGCGCGGCUCCUGGGCUGCUGUGCCCAGAACCUUCCGGAAGCUCAGGGCCGGGCGCUGGCCCUGGGGGCUCUGCCCGCGCUCCUGGGGCUGCUCCGCGCUGACCCCGAGCCCCGCGUGGCCCCAAACGCGCUCUUCGCACUCUCAUGCCUGGUGAGGGCCCAGCCCCAGGGGCUGCAGGAGCUCGAGGCCCUGGGGGGGCUGGAGGUGCUGGGGGGGGCCCUGCAGAGCCCCCCACCCCCCCCUGAGGGCCCGCGCCGCCUUCCUGCUGCACUGCCUGCUCAAGGAGCACCCCCGCCUCAAAGUUCCCCUGGUGCAGCAGGGCCUGGUCCCGCGGGCGGCGGCGCUGCUGCGCUCCGAGCACGACGGGGCCCACGAGCACGGCCUGGGCACCCUCUGCAGGUACUGAGACCCCUCCCCA